This 465-nucleotide ribosomal RNA is filed under the name uncultured bacterium. RNAcentral's name for it is "partial 16S ribosomal RNA". It matches the Rfam family "Bacterial small subunit ribosomal RNA", at positions 28 to 507 of the family's 1533-position model. The record is from RNAcentral.
GACGAACGCUGGCGGCGGGCUUAACACAUGCAAGUCGAACGGAAAGGCCCCCUUGUGGGGUACUCGAGUGGCGAACGGGGGAGGAACACGUGAGGAACGUACCCUUGACUUUGGGAUAAGGUCAGGAAACGGGGGCGAAUACCGGAUCGGAGCUCCUGCUGCAUGGCGGGGGGGGGAAAGUUUCGGCGGCUGGGGAUGGGCUCGCGGCUUAUCAGCUUGUUGGUGGGGUAGUGGCUCACCAAGGCUUUGACGGGUAGCCGGCCUGAGAGGGGGACCGGCCACACUGGGCCUGUGCUACGGCCCGGACUGGUGCGGGAGGCAGCAGUGGGGAAUGUUGCACGCUGGGCGGAAGCCUGUUGCGGCAGCGCCGCGUUCGGGAUGACGGCCUUCGGGUUGUAAACCGCUUUCGGCUGUGACGAAGCGUGAGUGACGGUAAUGGGUAAAGAAGCACCGGCUAACUACGUG